Molecule: ribosomal RNA, 522 nt
Filed under: uncultured bacterium
Lineage: Bacteria
Description: bacterial SSU rRNA
Rfam family: Bacterial small subunit ribosomal RNA
Source: RNAcentral
ACUCCUACGGGAGGCAGCAGUGGGGAAUUUUGGACAAUGGGGGCAACCCUGAUCCAGCAAUGCCGCGUGUGUGAAGAAGGCCUUCGGGUUGUAAAGCACUUUUGGCGGGAACGAAACUGCGCUUGCUAAUACCAGGCGCGACUGACGGUACCCGCAGAAUAAGCACCGGCUAACUACGUGCCAGCAGCCGCGGUAAGACGUAGGGUGCAAGCGUUAAUCGGAAUUACUGGGCGUAAAGCGUGCGCAGGCGGUUCUGUAAGACAGGUGUGAAAUCCCCGGGCUCAACCUGGGAACUGCACUUGUGACUGCAGAGCUAGAGUGUGUCAGAGGGAGGUGGAAUUCCGCGUGUAGCAGUGAAAUGCGUAGAGAUGCGGAGGAACACCGAUGGCGAAGGCAGCCUCCUGGGAUAACACUGACGCUCAUGCACGAAAGCGUGGGGAGCAAACAGGAUUAGAUACCCUGGUAGUCCACGCCCUAAACGAUGUCAACUAGUUGUCGGGGAUUCGUUUCCUGGUAACGCAG